CAGUGCUAUAAAUACUCCUCACCUCUCUCUUUUAACAAACCAACACACACUGCUCUCACAAUCAAAAGCUCUCUGAAUUCUCUCUUUCUCUACUAUUACUAUACUCUCUCAUUCUCUUCUUUGAACACUCAAUCGGCUAACAGCCAAGAUUGAGUAACUUGUGGUUGAUUACUUUACACUAUUGGGUUCUAUUUGCUUGUCUGUAUUAGGUAUGUUGCUGUUGUUAUUAUUCUCUUACUGCUGUUACUCACACUGUUGCUCUUAUUCUUUGCACACUUUUCUCUCCCUUUGUGCAUUACUGCAUUGCUAUUGUAUCCUAUUACCUGCAAUUGGUAUGUCACCUAUUUAAUAUACUGUUUCCACAACAACAUGCUCUUAUUAGUUUUGCAAUUCAUAUUGUUUCUUGCGUGCUUUUACCUAUGGUUCAAUUGCGCUUAUUGGCACUAGCAUGGAGUUGUCCGUCUACUAGUCUAACUUAGCAUGUUUUCCCCUAUUCCCCUUUCCCUGUCUCAAUGCAUGUUCUUAUUCCAUGUGCACUACUGCUUGGCUACUGAACAGCCCUGAAACCUCUCCCUGAGGUUGAUUAAAUUUGGGAUUUGGUGCAGUAAGAAUUCAAUCCUUGUUUUACAACCAUGCUUGAUUAUUUUCCU
This 650-nucleotide long non-coding RNA is filed under the name Nicotiana benthamiana. RNAcentral describes it as "long non-coding RNA (NBEN_LNC025627)". The record is from RNAcentral. Lineage: Eukaryota; Viridiplantae; Streptophyta; Magnoliopsida; Solanales; Solanaceae.